UACGUAGGGUCCGAGCGUUGUCCGGAAUUAUUGGGCGUAAAGAGCUCGUAGGCGGUUUGUCGCGUCUGCUGUGAAAUCCCGAGGCUCAACCUCGGGCCUGCAGUGGGUACAGGCAGACUGGAGUGCGGUAGGGGAGAAUGGAAUUCCUGGUGUAGCGGUGGAAUGCGCAGAUAUCAGGAGGAACACCGAUGGCGAAGGCAGUUCUCUGGGCCGUAACUGACGCUGAGGAGCGAAAGCGUGGGGAGCGAACAGG
Molecule: ribosomal RNA, 253 nt
Filed under: uncultured bacterium
Lineage: Bacteria
Description: partial 16S ribosomal RNA
Rfam family: Bacterial small subunit ribosomal RNA
Source: RNAcentral